Salmo salar (Atlantic salmon) is the source of this 10677-nucleotide long non-coding RNA. RefSeq lists it as uncharacterized. The record is from RefSeq and is a predicted model, not a curated record. Lineage: Eukaryota; Metazoa; Chordata; Actinopteri; Salmoniformes; Salmonidae.
GAAUGGCAGGAAGGUUGGCCUGUACUGGGCCGUACGCGCCUUGUGCUCUGCUGCCGAGCAGUUGCCAAACCAGGCAGUGAUGCAACCGGUCAGGAUGCUCUCGAUGGUGCAGGUGUAGAACGUUUUGAGGAUCUGAGGACCCAUGCCAAAUAAUUUUCAGUCUCCUGAGGGGGAAUAGGCAUUGUCGUGCCCUCUUCACGACUGUCUUGGUGUGUAUGGACCAUGAUAGUGUCGUGGCAUGACUACCAUUAAUGUGAUGACGGCUAUUUUAUCAAAUCAAUUAACUAUGUUGAAUUAAUACGUGAUUAAAUUAAUCAUGUAACAAUGAACUCAUUAGUAACUUGGGGCACCAAAAAGUUUGUUUUAUGAGUUACUAUUUUCCGAAUUAACUCAAGAAUAUAUCAGAAUAUAUCAUUAUCAUUCCAGUCAUCCAUUAAUUAUUAUUUCAGUCUCAUUCUAACAUCGCAUAAUUCUUGGAUAUCUGCAGGAACCCUAGUCUAAAUAAUGAUUUAGCGAUACACAAAUUGGCUUAAUUAUUUAUUUACUAACUAAAUAAUCACACAGACAUACAUAAACAGUAUAGGUUGAAUUGAUUUCUAACAUAAUGCAAUGAAAAGUCCCUAGUGGACUAACUCGAUAUGACGGCAUGUUACACAGUGAAAGGGGUGGGGAAAGAAAGAGUGGGAGAGACAGAGAGGGGACCCAUCGUACAUAAAGUUGGAAAUAUAUGCUCAUGGGAAUGUGAAUACAUUUCACAUGAAUGACUGCUCAUUCGAAAAUAAUUGCAAUGUAUAUAUUUAUGCUUGUAUGUUUUUGUCGUCGCUCUCUGUUGAAAUCGCCCGGUCUGUCUAUGGGGAGUCGUUCGACAGAAGUCUCUGGUUUGUCCACCAGAGGUAACAAUAUCUUUUGUAGUUGUAGUAGGCUUUCUUUGUCUCUGAGUGUUCAUUAGACUGGAUCCUUCAGAUAUACACACACGGUGGUCUUUGGGUAGAGUUUACUAGACUAACAGUUCUUAAACAGCUGCAGACUGAAUGUUCCGAUGUAGUCUUUAUCUUCUUCACUCGCGUGGAGAGUUUCUAAACAUUUCGUAGCGUUCAGCUCACGCUGUCGGUCACGCUGGUCUAUAUUUAAAUUGCAACCAUUUCAACGUUUUCAGCUCACGCUGCACGUAUACUGGUCUUGUAGUUUUAAACCAUUUCAACAUGUAGCCACCGCUCCAUGCUUUCUGACCUGUAUGUUAAUUCUUCAGCAAGUCCUUUUAAGCACUCGCCUUGGAGGGUGGUUCCAUCAUGUUGCCACAAUGUUGCCACAAAUCACAUUUAAUCUUUUCACAAAUAGUUUCAUAUUUAAUCAUAUAAGGUUUACAACAUUUAGAUGUAAAUCUGAUAACUGGGAUGUAUACAUUUGUAGAGUUACAGUUAUUUAGUUAUACCAUCCUUAAUGAUAUCACAAAACAAUACACUUUUGACAGGAUUUAUUGUUUGGACACCCACCAACCAUUCCAGAUGUUUGGAUUUGAAAACUAAUGUUCCAAUGUCCAAUCCUUUGAUGUUUGAAGUUUAUCCUUUGUGCAGAUAUCCUUUGUGCAAUACUGCAGGUACAGAGAGAGAGUUUACAACCGGUCGUUAAAGUCAUAAGACCGGCCCACUUCCCCCCCUUCCUCUGGUGGGAGAUAGAGGGGGCUCUCUUUGAUCCUCACCCAGGAGGGAAAGUCAUGACAAUAGUUUGAUGGUGAUGUGGACACCAAGGAACUUGAAGUGCUCGACCUGCUCUACAACAGCCCCGUCGAUAUGAAUGGGGGCAUGCUUGACCCUCCUUUUCCUGUAGUCUACGAUCAGCUCCUUUGUCUUGAUCACAUUUAUUUUUCAUUUAAAAAAAUUGGGGUACUUUUACCCCUUUUUCUUUCCCAAUGUCAUGACAUACAAUUGGUAGUUACAUUCCUGUCCCAUCGCUGCAACUCCCGUACGGACUUGGGAGAGGCGAUGGUCGAGAGUUAUGUGUCCUCCGAAACACAACCCUGCCAAGCCGCACUGCUUCUUGACACACUGCUCACUUAACCCGGAAUCCAGCCACACCAAUGUGUCGGAGAAAACACUGUACAACUUGCGACCGAGUCAGCUUGCAGUCACCCAGCCCACCAUAAGGAGUCGCUAGAGCAUGAUGGGAUAAGAAAAUCCCGGCCAGCCAAACCCUCCCCUAAACCGAACAACACUGGGCCAAUUGUACGCUGCCUCAUGAGUUUCACCGUCACGGUCCGGCUGUAACACAGCCUGGGAUCUAACCCAGGGCUGUAGUGACGCAUCAAGCAGUGCAAUGCAGUGCCUUAGACCGCUGCGCCACUCAGGAGGCCCUAUCUUGAUCACGUUGGGGGAGGGAUUGUUUUCAUGUUACCACACGGCCAGGUUUCUGACCUCCUCCCUAUAGGCUGUCUCAUCGUUGUCGGUGAUCAGGCCUACCACCUUUGUGUUGUAGGCAAAUGCAACGAUAGGUUGUGCUUGGCCAUGUUGUGCUUGGAGUACAGUGAGUACCUUUCCACCAUGACGCAAUCUCCAUUGCACUCCACACUGCCCUUUCCCACCUGGACAAAAGGAACACCUACGUGAGAAUGCUGUUCAUUGACUACAGCUCAGCAUUCAACAUCAUAGUGCCCUCAAAGCUCAUCACUAAGCUAAGGACCCUGGGACUAAGCAUCUCACGCUACAACUGGAUACUGGACUUCCUGACGGGCCACCCCAGGUGGUAAGGGUAGGCAACAACACAUGAUGUUAAAAAUAUUUGUUGGUUUGAUGUGAUUAAUGAGGAGCAUCCAGACGCUGCACUUGAUGAACUUAUGAAAUUGCUUCUUCCAAUUAUUGACAAACAUGCACCUGUUAAUAAACUAACUGUUCGAACUGUUAAGGCUCCAUAGAUUGAUGAGGAAUUGAACAACUGUAUGGUUGAAAGAGAUUGGGCAAAAGGAAUGGCUAAUAAGUCUGGCUGCACAUCUGACUGGCUCUAGGAUGAUGCCACGUUCAAGACAACUUGGAACUUGGAAAUCUCCGACCCCCUUGUUCAGUGUUUUUGCUGCAUUCACGUGCUAGCCGGAACUAAGAAACUCUGAAAUGUGCGACUUGGUUGUAGUUAAUCAAGUGCCGUGUUCAACCAGCCAGGCCCCCCAUGAAAACAACUACAUCGACAAUGAUCCUUUGCUAGUUAUGGCCACUUUCACCGUGAUCCUUAGCGAUUUUUUGGUGCCAUUCAGCCCCUUCAGCAAUAUGGUGCGUUACAAAUUCAAAUACUGGCUUCUUGCAUAGAAAGUUUUCCAUAGAAAUACGUGGAUGAUGCACUAUCAUUGGUUUUAAUGUCUAUGCGUUCAACAAAUUAGUAAAUCGUAAUUUUAGAGUUUCCUAGUCCCAACAAGCAUGUGAACGUCUCUGAAAAACUAGCUUCAACUGUAAAAAAAAUAUUUUUGAAGGCUCAUCAACUCUUAGAGCUCCGACUUUUUGACCUGAAGACCACUGAUAGUUUUUUUCAGAGUUCCCAGUUGUCUUGAAAGCACCAUGAUUCCAGAGUUUCUGACUUGGAAUUCUGAGUUGGAUGACCUUUUAAAACGUUAUUUCCCAGUCGGAGCUAGUUUUUUUUCUUCAGAUUUCCCAGUUGUCUUGAAAGCUGUGUACAGAACCUAGGUGGGAAGGUGGAAAUUACCAGCUGCGAAGUCGUAAAUACGAGGGAACCAUUCACAUGCUUUGAUUGGCUAAUGGCCAACAAACUGCCAACAAACUGCAUCAACCAUAAACUAAAAGUACAGCUAUCAUGUUUGUAAAUGAAUUAUAGUGUUAAAAAAACAUAGUAAUUGACAAUUAUUUAUAAACAAUGUUUUGUUGUUGCAUUUAACUGCUGAAAAUGCUGUUAUCGAGGUAAUUUCCUUAGUAGGUGACAUCAGAGGUCAGCAUGCGGGAGAAAUCGGAGCUCAGGGAGUUUCCCACAAGUAAUUACCAGUUGGAGGGGCAUUUCAGUGGAUUUUUCCCAGUCGUAUGUGGUAAAUACCACAUAUUCCCACAUGGUUAUGAAAGCAGCAUAAAGCAAGUCGGAGGUCGGAGAUUUCCGAGUUCCCAGUUGUCUUGAACACAGCUUAAGUCAGGUAACGCAGUGUGAUGACAUCAUGAGAAGGUGUUUUGGCGACGUCAAACUUGCCAGUUCAUGGGAGAAAUGUUUUGAGGUUUACAUCGAGCUGUAGAAGGAGGGAAAGAUGGUGGAAGUGGAUGCUGAGUUCGAAUCUAGCAGCGCGUUGAGCAAAGUUGGUGAAGACGAAUGUUCUGAAUGGACUCUAAAAUUGGAGUGGAGGAUACGUGUAUGAAUGAUAAGGAAUCGCUUCUUGUUGGGAUGCAUUUGUUGAGGAAGGAUGCAUAUGUGGGAGACCCGUUUGAGGUGUCGAAAAUGGUGAAGUAUGCACUGGGGAAAGUGGAAUUUGUCAGAGUGACCAGGAAUUGUUUUAUUUUGAUUAAUUGUAUUUCUGAAGAACAGAGGAAGAUUGCAGUGAGCCUUGAAAGAAUCUGGACAGGGCCUCCCGAGUGGCGCAGCAGUCUAAGGCACUGCAUCGCAGUGCUAUAGGCGUCACUACAGACCCGGGUUCUGUGUCGGGAGACGACCGGGAGAGCCAUGAGACGGCGCACAAUUGGCCCAGCGUCGUCCUGUUUAGGGGAUGGUUUGCCGGCCGUCUGGGUUGUCCUUGUCCCACCGCUUUAGCGACUUCUGUGGCGGGCCAGACGCAUGCACGCUGACUUCAGUUGCCAGUUGUAUGAUGUUUCCUUCGACACAUUGGUGCGACUGGCUUCCGGGUUAAGCGAGCAGUGUGUCAAGAAGCAGUGUGGCUUGCCAGGGCUAUGUUUCGGAGGACGCAUGGCUCUCGACCUUCGCCUCUCCCGAGUACUUACGGGAGUUUCAGCGAUGGGACAAGACUGUCACUAGCAAUUGGAUAUCACGAAAUUGGGGAGAUAAAGGGGUAAAAAGUUAAAAAAAAAUAUAUAUAUAUAUAUAUAUAAAACAUCCGGACAACAAAAGUUUUGUGUUUUAAACUUCGGAGUAGAGCACCUGUCAAAGGAGUCAAGUCAUGGGUGACGACGGAUGUUCAGGUUGAAUACCUGAAGAGAAUUCCUGGUGUGGUUGGUGCCCGGCAUCUGACCCGCAGGCCGAAUGGAGAAAAAGAAGAAAGUCUGUCUGUCCUGUUGUUUUUUGGUACAAAUUAAAUAUCUACAUAUGUGAAUCUUCGUUUUGUAAGAUACUCUGUAAGAGCUUUCAUCCCCCAAACCAUUGCAGUGUAAGAAUUGAAAAGGAUUUGGCAAUGUUUCAAGUGUGUGCAGACGGACAGUUUAGUUUAUUUAUUUAUUUUGGUAGUUUGGUAGUUUUUUGCUAGUUUGUUCCAUUUUUGGGAAUCCUGUUUCCAUCCCGCACAGUAGCUGGUGGGUUGCACAUUAAAUUGUGCGAUCGCCAAUAUACCAUAGAAGAAGAAGAAAUGUUUUGAGAAGAAUAAACAUUAACAUCGUGAAAUGUGAGUAUUAUGUUUAUUUAUUCAACAAAUUACGUUAAAAUGUUCAUCAACAUACUUUCAUAUGAAGGUUAAAUUCAGUUAUUAGGACAUAACGCAGAGUCAGGUCUCUAGCCAAGCUAGCUACCAGGUGAUCUUGUCAUUUUUACGCAAUGAACAACUAAUUGUAUAUUCAGGAAUGUGUCAAUGAUGUAGGAAUGCACAGUUUUAAAAUCCUGAAUUAGUGAUCAUGCUAGCCAACGAAUGACAAAUCAUAUUUUUCAAAUCGACAAGAUAUUAUAAUAACACAGCAACAAAAUGUUUUGGUAUUUUAUUAGGAUCCCCAUUAGCUGUUGUGAAAGCAUCAUCUACUCUACAGAACAUUAACAGACAAAAACAGCUCAAGGACUGAACUACAGUACAUAAAUGUAAAAACAGCACACGUAGCCUACAUAUCAAUACAUACACACAAUAACUAGAUCAAAUAGGGGAGAGGCACUGUGCUGUGAGGUGUUCCUUUAUCUGUUUUUUUUAUAAACCAGGUUUGCUGUUCACUUCAGCAAUAUGAGAUGGAAGAGUUCCAUGCAAUAAUGGCUCUAUAUAAUACUGUACACAUUCUUGACAUUUUAACGAGGUUAUAAGCUAAGACUAUACUGGCUGUUCCUCUUUUUCCAGAGUGAUGGUUCAUAUUGUAGCUCACGAGUAGGGACUGGAACCCACCUCAGGUCCUAUGUGAAGUUUGUGUUCAAGCCAGAGCCGAACUCAGCCAGUGGGGUGUCCCUAACCCUAAGAGUGUCCAUGAGGAGCUGGCUAAAGCCAUGACAGCCAACCUCAAACCCUCCACUUACUUCCUCACCAGCAACAAACUGCUACUCGUUGUACUUCGUAGAAGCCUUGGUGAAGUCUAUGGCCCAGCAUAGGACACAGAGUGGUAAAUUCAACCUGUCUAGAAAACCAAGUUUCUCUGCCUCCUUCCACCACACAGUAGAGAAACAUGCUGAGGCCUCACAUCAACAAGAACUACAAGGGCCAACUGGACGCUGCCCGAAACGCCAACCACAGUCUGGCAGUCUUGGUGUGCCAUAGACUGCCAACAAAAAAGUUGUUGGUUUCAUUCAGAAAAUUGCCACAUUCAGUUCUAUGAUAAAGCUAUUUUCUUGCUAUGAGGACUGAUGUAUGCUACAAGAAGCAAAAUAAAUACGUGCACUCUAUACUAUCAGGGUAGAUUAUUGAUGUUUCUUGUGCUAUGUAGAAACUAUUUGCUAGUCAUUUAAAUAAUAAACAACUGUAUUCUGUCCUAUUAAUGUAGUUCCGUUUAUGAAAAUAGUAUCUUCAUUAUUUAUUAUUGUAGUGUUAAUCUAUCUGUGAAAAUCUGAAGAAAACAGAAACUAAGGUGAAAGUAAUAGUAAUUUACACAACAACAGGGAAACAGAGCAUUGCUUUAGAAUACAGUGUCAAGACGACAUAGCUACACUGAAACUAUGGUGAACAGUAAGCUACACUGAAACAAUGGUCAUAGUAAUUUACACGGUAACGGGAACAGAGCAUUGCUUUAGAAUACAGUGUCAAGGCCCCGUAGGUACACUGAUACUAUGGUGAAACUAUCCAGGAAGAAACAGUAAGGCACACAAACUGAUUAAAGUAGUAAUGAAUAUAAUAGUAAUUUACAGGGGAACAGAGCGUUGCUUUAGAAUACAGUGUCUAGGCCCCAUAGGUACACUGAAAAAAUAUGGUGAAACUACGCAUGAAGUAACAGGUAAGGUACAUAAUAUGUAUUUAAGUACAGUGCUGAAAUAACUAUAAUGAUAGGAAGGUAAUCGGAAACAAGACAAAAGGCAGCUAGCUACAAGCAAAGACCUAAAAGGGACAUUUUUAGGAUGGUCCACAUAAAGCAUAAGUGAAAGUUCCAAGUACAUUCUUAAUAAGUAUACCCUCUAUUAUUGAUAGUUCUUCAGUAAGGAAUAGUUGUUCCUAAAUAACAACCAGGAUAAUUCAUCACUCUUUAUAUCAGUACUUAGCAGCUACAAACAAUAUAUUAUUGGAUAAUUGGUGUUCAUGCCUGGUUGUUGCCAUCAUAUUUCAUAGUUUUUUCCAGGUACUUUCCAGACAUUACCCUCUUAUUCAGCUAGCCUUGUGACCUAAGCAACCCUGCUAUUUCCUGUUUCCUGUGUUCCUCUGCCCUAGAAUUGGAUUGGAGGAGAGCUGAGUAAAUGUAACCCAAUCCGCUUCAAGCUUUCAGCCUCUCGUAAUAGUAUUGUAUUUUCUCUUCCUGUGUAGGGGAAUUAUUUGAUAAAACAUUGAAUUUGUCCUUACUGCCAUUAGCCCAUAGAAACACAUUCAAUAACAUAUUCAUACAUGGUAAAAACAGAUUGUAAAGUCAAAAGUAUGUUUUGGGGGGCGCUAGUGAGCAACCCAUGGAGUAGGUCAAAUGCAUUUAUUUAAUAGUUUCUUUGUGCUUUGACCCGCUAAAGAACUAGGAAACACAGCCUUUGAAUGACGUGCAUUACUUUGUUCAACUUUUAUUUUAGUUUUAAUGUGUAAAUGGCACAUAACCUGCAAUAGUUUAAGUUCAACUGAGUCACUGACAAAAGAGAAAACACUAGUCCCAAGACGAGGAGCUCGAGUUCUUCAACAAGUGGGAGCAGCGGCUCCUCGGCUCUGCGAAAAAAAUUAACACCAAGGAUUUGAAGGCCGAGAUUCUUGCUGCCCUCAGAGCGGACAUUUCAUCUAUACUCAAGUCGGAACUCAAGGAGGCGCUCAAUGUGGACUUUAAUUUUAUUAAGUCGGAGUUACAAGCAGUCAAGAAUGAACUCGUAAAGCAUACAGCAAUGGUUCGUACUGAACUGGAUACAGUUAAAAAAAACUGUCUCCGACAUGGAAAAGACUUGUCCCCAUGCUCAGACGACACAACUACACUACAAACCAUGGUUAAGAAGCUUGAAACUGAUGUGGCUAGCCUUAAUUAACAAUGCAUACAUUUAUAAGGUUAUAUGCAAAGAUCCAAUAUCAGGAUCAUGGGGGUAGCUGAGGACCCAGGCUCAAGUUCUACUUCAUUGGUUUCAAAGUUAUUGAAGGAAGCCCUCAAAUUGAAUAAAGACGUCCUUGUAGACAGCUCACAUCGGGGCUCUCAAGCAAGUGAGCCUGGUGGAAAACCUUGCUUCAUUGUGGCUAAACUACACUACUAUCAGCAUUUUAUGAUGUUCUUCAGCGUGUCAGAGAAUUUGUCCCACUUCGAUGCAACUGAGCACCUAUCUCUAUCUUCCUAGACUAUGCCCCCAGCUUUGCUUGUGACCGUGCUGCUUCCAAUGAUGUCAAGAGUGUGCUCAGUGGACGGACCGAAGUUCGGUAUGGUGUGGCUUAUCCUACCCGGCUCUGUACAAUGACAUCGAAGGCUAUGGCCAUCAUAAAGGCCAAGGUCAGAUGAAGCAAAUGGCUGAAUGUUCACCUAUUUGGCAAAUAGGGUAAUGGACAAAUGUGUUUACAUCUGCAGACUCAGUCUCUCUUUUGUAGAUACUGUAUAGUGUUGCCAGUGGUGUCAGUUGAUAUUGUUAUUAUUAGGUAACGUUAGUGCCUUACUUCUGGUGAGCCAAUUUUCCGUUUGUUUUAAUGUUUCAUUUUAUUACAAUGAAGCUGCUCAUUUCUAUUUUUCUCGACGGUACUCGUAUCCAGGGUAGAUAAAGCACAGUUCUAUUAUUAGGUCACGUCAUUUAUUUAAAGACGUUGCUGCUAACAUAGUGGUAUUGCUGUAAGAUGUGAUUUAUAAAAAUGUUUUAUUCUUUCUUUUAAAACAGCCUAGUUUUGGGUUGUAAAUAAGUAUUUCUUAUUUAUUUAUUUAUUUUGCGCAACUUGUUUUAAAUCCUUCACUAUUUCAGUAGGGCUCUCUACCCGAUAGGUUUAGUGUUCCCCACCACAAUCACAUUAGGUGUGGAUAUCUUUGUGGGAGAGUAGCGGUUUCUUCUUCUAUUAGGUGACCGGGAUGAGGUUUUCUUUUUCAUACCAGACAUCAGAGUAUUGUUUGUUUAUGUUUAUUUAUUCUUCUUAAAAUAUAUAUAUGUAUUUGCUAUUUAAAAAAAAAAAAAUUAGGGAUCAGUUGUUAUUGUAAUCUGGCAUCUAUCCUUUUCCCACCUGACUUUACAUGGCUAGGCCUAAUAUCAUGACAGGGACAGCUGGUUGCUCGGUCACUUUUGCUAGCUGGAAUGUUACAUCUUUAAAUCACCCAGUGAAAUGUAAAAGGUUUCUUUCUCAUUUAAAUCACCUUAAAGUAGAUAUCGCUUUUCUUCAGGAGACACAUCUCCGCACUUUCGACCACUGCCGUUUAAAAGGAGGGUGGAUCGGUCAAUCAUAUCAUUCCAAUUUUCAUUCUAAAACUAGCGGAGCAGCCAUUUUAAUUAGUAAAAAAAACAUUUUAAUUAGUAAAAAAAUACCGUUCCUAAUGUCAAGUGUAGAGUCCGACUCAGCAGGCCGUGUCAUUAUUCUAGUAGGAAUACUGUAUAAUACACCUGGUAUCUUGGCUAACAUUUAUGCACCAAAUUGGGAUAACAUUUCAUUCUUCACAAAUGUAUUGGACACACACCACCGAAUACUUCACAAAUAUGGACACACACCGCCGAAUACUUGGUGGUGAUAUGAAUUGUGUACUGUCGCCCAGUAUGGAUCGUAGCUCUUCUAAGGUAUCAUCUUCAUCAAAGACAGUAUCCACAAUGCAGCUAUUUCUUAAGACAUAUGGCAUAUCUGAUGCGUGGGGUUUCUGCAAUCCCACGGCUAGGGAGUAUUCUUUUUUCUCACCAGUUCAUAAGACCUUCUCACGUAUAGACUACUUUUUCCUAGACAAUAGAUUUCUGCCACUUAUCACGGAGUGUGAUUACCAAGCUAUAGUCAUUUCGGAUCCUUCUCCUCUUACUAUUUACAUUUACAUUUUAGUCAUUUAGCAGACACUUAUCCAGAGCGACUUACAGUAGUGAAUGCAUACAUUUCAUACAUACAUCAUACAUUUUUUUCUUACUUCACAAUAGUAUCAUAAUUAACAGAGUGAAAAAAGGAAGCCUGUACAUAAAACUAUCCCAAAACAUGCAUCCUGUUUGCAAUAAGGCAAUAAAAUAAUAUUGCAAAAAAUGUGGCAAAGCAAUAACUUUUUUUCCUGAAUAUAAAGUGUUAGGUUUGGGGCAAAUCCAAUA